RNAcentral lists this ribosomal RNA (770 nucleotides) under uncultured Vagococcus sp. RNAcentral describes it as "bacterial SSU rRNA". It matches the Rfam family "Bacterial small subunit ribosomal RNA", at positions 28 to 776 of the family's 1533-position model. Lineage: Bacteria; Bacillati; Bacillota; Bacilli; Lactobacillales; Enterococcaceae. The record is from RNAcentral.
GACGAACGCUGGCGGCGUGCCUAAUACAUGCAAGUCGAACGCACGAAGUUGAAGAGCUGCUCUUAAACCAAGUGAGUGGCGGACGGGUGAGUAUCACGUGGGUAACCUACCCAUUAGAGGGGGAUAACAUUCGGAAACGGAUGCUAAUACCGCAUAGUUUCAGGAAUCGCAUGAUUCGUGAAGGAAAGGUGGCUUCGGCUACCACUAAUGGAUGGACCCGCGGCGUAUUAGCUAGUUGGUGAGGUAAUGGCUCACCAAGGCAAUGAUACGUAGCCGACCUGAGAGGGUGAUCGGCCACACUGGGACUGAGACACGGCCCAGACUCCUACGGGAGGCAGCAGUAGGGAAUCUUCCGCAAUGGACGAAAGUCUGACGGAGCAACGCCGCGUGAGUGAAGAAGGUUUUCGGAUCGUAAAACUCUGUUGUUAAAGAAGAACAAGGAUGAGAGUAACUGCUCAUCCCCUGACGGUAUUUAACCAGAAAGCCACGGCUAACUACGUGCCAGCAGCCGCGGUAAUACGUAGGUGGCAAGCGUUAUCCGGAUUUAUUGGGCGUAAAGCGAGCGCAGGCGGUUCUUUAAGUCUGAUGUGAAAGCCCCCGGCUCAACCGGGGAGGGUCAUUGGAAACUGGAGAACUUGAGUGCAGAAGAGGAGAGUGGAAUUCCACGUGUAGCGGUGAAAUGCGUAGAUACGUGGAGGAACACCAGUGGCGAAGGCGACUCUCUGGUCUGUAACUGACGCUGAGGCUCGAAAGCGUGGGGAGCAAACAGG